RNAcentral lists this ribosomal RNA (253 nucleotides) under uncultured bacterium. Its description in RNAcentral is "partial 16S ribosomal RNA". It matches the Rfam family "Bacterial small subunit ribosomal RNA", at positions 524 to 776 of the family's 1533-position model. The record is from RNAcentral.
UACGUAGGGGGCGAGCGUUGUCUGGAGUUACUGGGCGUAAAGCGCACGCAGGCGGUCUGUUAAGUUUGGAGUGACAGUUGGUGGCUCAACCACCAAAGUGCUUUGAAAACUGAUAGACUUGAGGGCUUCAGAGGGACACGGAAUUCCGGGUGGAGUGGUGAAAUGCGUAGAGAUCCGGAGGAACACCAAAGGCGAAGGCGGAUCUCUGGGCCGAUACUGACGCUGAGGAGCGAAAGCGUGGGGAGCGAACAGG